Molecule: non-coding RNA, 2070 nt
Organism: Paramuricea clavata
Lineage: Eukaryota; Metazoa; Cnidaria; Anthozoa; Malacalcyonacea; Plexauridae
Source: the annotation of a GenBank genome assembly
CAAUAGUUUUGUUUCAUUGGUCGUAUAAACUUUCACUUUGCGAAUAUGUAGUACAUAGUCAAUCACCCUAUAGUUGUCUAACCGCGAGCAAAGGCUGGGGAAUAACAUCUAACUAUGUAAUAGAAGUUCAGUUUAUUGAAAUUAGUGUUACACCCGUUUUCAAAAUUACGCGACCAGCACAACGGAAUAGCUAUACAAUGUUGACAUGUCAGUUUUGUGUUACGCGCUAAAACUAGCAAACGUAAACAAAAGGCAAACAAAAUUUCCAGUGUAAAUUUUCCAAGAAUCGACUCCGAUUUUAACUAUUCUUGAGAUAAGGAGCUUCAACAUGUCGGAGCUCGUAGGUGUUGACAGUAAGUCGACGAACGAUGUUCAUAUUUGAAAUUUUGUCAACAUCGAACUGAUCGAAAUAACCAAAAGCACGCGCGUUACCGAUAAUAAAUUCACUCUGACAGCAGAAUUUGUGCUGAAUGCAAACUAAAUCCGUUCUCAGAGUGGUAUUGUACAUAUCUAUUUAAUUAGUUUGUAUUCACAUUAGAAAGGUUGAACCAGGCAUGUCAAAAUCUACUUUUCUGCCAUUUUCGCAAAAAAAGUUGUUCGCUUCUGGCUACAGUACUACAUCAUCACACGUCGAUCAGCGCGCGCACUUUCACUUGCUGACAAUAACUUUCAAUUUGCAAUAAUUAUCACUAAAAUAUUUUUAAAAUCCUUGUAAACUUUUUCAUAUAAACCAUGCAAAACAUAUACUUUAAUUGACAACGAACCGCAAAACUCAAAGUUGUAAACAUUCGUGACCGCAUGACAUAAGACUGACAUUUGCACUAUAAGAAAAUUUCGGGCAGGCGCGUAAUUUGGAAAUGGUGUAAAUUGGAUUUCUUUUCGAAAAGCAACCUCAGCCCCGUGUUAGCGGAUAAUCUUAUAUGUCGCAUGUAUAAAUAGACCACGAUUCAUCAAGAUUGACGUGUCGUCGCUACUGUUGUGAAGUCCAUUGUCUAGUCCAUGGCUUCUUAUUCUUAAGUUGUAAAUUAUACAGACAGUAGUGCGACCACCCAUAAGCUCCUCAAAUAAUUUCCAAGACAUUUUCAGAUUAAGCUUACUCUUUCGAACACGGAAACGGGGGGAAAAACACUGAUCUAUCAGUGGGAAAAAGAGUCCACCUUGUCACCAGCCUGUUCUAAGGUACACCACAGAAUAAGCACAUACAGAAGUCCGAAUUCUUGUCGCCGCCUUUGAUGUUAGCGUAACCGCCACCACGCCAUGAUUCCCAAUCGCGUCCUAGUCAUUGCGCUAAGAAAGAGGCCGUCACCCCCCUGAAAACAUUAAAAAUGACCGGCUUGGCUUAGGCGUUCAGGGGGGUGAGUACCUCUCGUAAGCGCACUGGCUAGGAACACGGCGUCGUGUACGAUACUCAUUCUGGUGUGUGAAGUUUCUUCUGACGACACCAAUUAGCCAUUUCCCAAAGUCCUUGGUCUAGUCGCGCGAAUCCCUUGUUUUGGAGGGGACAAGAAAUGUGGCAGCACACAUUUAAAUUAAAAGUUUAAUGUAAAAAGGAGGUAUUGGUCGUGUAAAAAGUUGAUAUUUGAUAGUAGAUACUUCUACUCUUUCACAUACAGUAUUUGACGCCUGUCUCCAUAUAUUUGACCCUCCAAACGAUCCCAGAAUGCACUGUGAUCUCUUUUGGGAAAAACCUAAUUUGUCCUUCGUUUAGUUUACGGCGAAAUUUGAAUUGCAACCAUUUUACGCGUGCUUAUUCGACGACGUAUGCCAGAAUACGUAUCUUACACGCAAAGUUGAAGUCGAGUCAAUUUUUCCAGCAUAUCGCCGAUCGCACUCGGUUGCGUGUUUUCACACGCGUGUCCCUCGCAGUAGCGAUCGAAAACAAACUUGCUAAGGUGCAUACCAAUUCCUUCCGCGUUCGAGAGGUUAACGUAAUUAUGGUCUUGGAAAAUGUUUACAUAUCAUUAUUUUAAAAACCGCGACACCUGGCUAGAUUAGUGAAUGUAUAGCAGCAAUUUAUUCAUUCUCUGUAAAUUUGAGCAAAAAUUAUAACUAAUAAAGUAAUACCCACUG